This 704-nucleotide long non-coding RNA is filed under the name Sitophilus oryzae (rice weevil). Its description in RNAcentral is "uncharacterized LOC115890502". Lineage: Eukaryota; Metazoa; Arthropoda; Insecta; Coleoptera; Curculionidae. The record is from RNAcentral.
CCAAGAUUGACAGGCAAGCCGUAAAAUAAAAUAUUUAUUACUUGUAAUAGAAUUACGUUUAUUAUCUACAAUUUACCCUCAUUUUAACGCCUAUAUAUGUUAAGAGGUUAUAAACGAAUGGUUUCCGUACAAGUGUUUUUCAGUUGUAUUAGCAUUUAUUUUAUGUUACCUUUUAGCGCAAAGUACGCCAACAGAAUACUUAAUUCAGUCGAAACAAUUGGAAAAACUUUGUUUGUUGAUGAGAACGGGCUACCUAUACCAUAAGUAAACUUUCCCUAUUAUACCAGUUACGCUGUAGUUAGUUUUGACAAAUAAGCAUGAUUUAACGAAAGUCUUUGGAACUAUGAAUCUAGGAAUAAGUUACAAACUUAAAUUUGAAGGCCGGCUUUUAUACGAGAAAAUGUUGAACCAUGGUUGAAACAAAUAAAUGUAAUAAUUAAAUUGAUAUGAUACAUACCUGCUAUUUUUGAAAUAUAUUAAUAUAUUGAUAGAAAGAUUGUUUCAAUUAGUAUUACUUCAGGUAGUUUCGGCAUUUUAGGUAUGUAAUUGUGCACUUAAUUUAAAAAUAACUUAGAAAGAAGCUUGAAACGCAUAGGGGCUCUUUAUGUGUGCUGUAUAAUUAAGGUUUGUAUGUUAUGGAGUCAUUUUUAUACAACAAAUUUAUUAUUAGUUGAAUAAAAGCAAGUUAAUACCACAUAAUUCAA